Molecule: long non-coding RNA, 300 nt
Organism: Sceloporus undulatus (fence lizard)
Lineage: Eukaryota; Metazoa; Chordata; Lepidosauria; Squamata; Phrynosomatidae
Exons: 3
Source: RefSeq, a predicted model, not a curated record
CUGGAGCCAUACCCUCCCAAACUAAGUGUCUCAUCUCCACACACUUCUGUUAGGAUUCUUCUUCCAGGCUCAGCACCAUGACAGUGCAUCAGGAAUUUGGACACAGGGUCUCAAAAGGACAGGAUGAAGCACAGACAUGCUCCCCACCCCCACCUAUGUCAAAACAGCUGAAGGGUUCCUGUUACACAGCUGUUUUGAAGUUCACGUACCAGUUAGCAUGAACUGAUAAGCAUUGUCAGAGAUGGAGAAGAUGUGGGGAGGUGCCUCUGAACGUUUUUUGCCCCGGUAACCAGCCACCAC